Molecule: long non-coding RNA, 847 nt
Filed under: Salvia miltiorrhiza (redroot sage)
Lineage: Eukaryota; Viridiplantae; Streptophyta; Magnoliopsida; Lamiales; Lamiaceae
Description: long non-coding RNA (SMIL_LNC010711)
Source: RNAcentral
GACUUCACCUACGAAUUCGACGGCUCGAAAGAGUCGGACCUGAUCUACCAAGGCGACGCCUACAUGCCGACGGACACCACCAACCUCCGCCUCACGAACCAGGUGGAGCACAGCUACGGCCGAGUCAUCCACCGCGAUCUGGUGCAACUCUGGAUAGGGGGCGGAGAAAGCCCACUUCGAAACCACCGUGAAAUUCAUCGUGAAACCUAGGUCCUCCAACGAUAUCCCGGCCGACGGCCUCGUCUUCUUCAUGGUCCGUGCCGACCACACCUUCCCGAGCGACCCCGAUGGCGGCAACCUCGGAAUCUACGCGCCCGACAACCCCAAAGUGUUUGCCGUGGAGUUCGACAUCUUCCGCAACCCCGAGUGGGACCCGGAUUUUCCACACGUCGGGAUCAACAUUGAAGCUAGGGCUUCCGAGGCAGUCGUUCAGAUUCCGAAGUCGUUCAUCGGGAAGGAGGUGACCUUGAAGAUCACCUACGUCGCCGCCACUCAAGUCAUCUCCGCCCUCGUCACCGACGGCAUACAGACCGAUGUGGUCAGCUACAUGUGCGACUUGAGCGAUGUUCUUCCUGGGGAGGUUCAAGUCGGCCUCGCCGCCUCCACCGGCGAUUUCGUCGCCAAACAGGACGUCGCUUUCUGGGACUUCCACUCAGCUUUCGAUUAAGAAUGGAGCAUAGAUUCCAUUCGUCUGAAUUUGCGAUCGUAUCAUCUUCUUCAAUUAAGUCCAUUUCCAUUGUGUUUGUGUUUGUGUGUGAUUUUGUGUAUGAGUGUGUAAUAAGGACUACCGAUCGAUCGACUACUCUACUCUUGUGUGUGUAUGGAUUGAAAUAUGAAUGAAAUAGUU